This 212-nucleotide long non-coding RNA is filed under the name Elaeis guineensis (African oil palm). RNAcentral's name for it is "long non-coding RNA (EGUI_LNC033735)". The record is from RNAcentral. Lineage: Eukaryota; Viridiplantae; Streptophyta; Magnoliopsida; Arecales; Arecaceae.
UUUGGGAUUGUGAGGUGUGGUAUUGUAGAACGAUUAGAGCUGGUUGGUUGCUUGAAGGGUGCAAUAGCUUCAAGUGGGUUUAAGGUGGAGUUCGAGAAGUUUGAUGGUAAGGAAAACUUUACCUUAUAGCAAGAGUGGGUGAAGGAUUUGUUGGUGUAGUAGUGGAUCUAUAAGGUCUUAGUAUGAGAAAGACUGGAAAAGAUCUUUACUGA